CCCAUUUGACCCGUCUUGAAACACGGACCAAGGAGUUUAAGGUGUGCGCGAGUGACUGGGCGCGAAACCCAAGAGCGUAAUGAAAGUGGGACACUGUGUGUCUGGGAUGCGACCCUCGCGUGACUCGUUGCGUGUGGGGCAGCAUCGACCCAUGACUGGAACAUGUUCCGUUGUGGAGUCCGAGCGCACGCUUUGAGACCCGAAAGAUGGUGAACUAUGCCUGAGCAGGACGAAGUC
Molecule: ribosomal RNA, 237 nt
Filed under: Ficophagus cf. centerae NK-2017
Lineage: Eukaryota; Metazoa; Nematoda; Chromadorea; Rhabditida; Aphelenchoididae
Description: partial 28S ribosomal RNA
Rfam family: Eukaryotic large subunit ribosomal RNA
Source: RNAcentral